GAUAAAGUUACCAUCUUGGGUGAUGGAAAUUCCAAAGCCAUCUUUCUCAAUGAAGAGGAUAUCGGGACGUACACCAUCAAAGCUGUUGAUGACCAGCGAACUUUGAACAAGAUUCUAUAUCUGAGACCUUCCAACAACAUCCUUUCCCACAAUGAGCUUGUCUCUCUUUGGGAGAAGAAAACAGGCAAGACUUUCGAGCGAGUUUAUGUACCCGAGGAAGAGGUUUUGAAGCAGAUUCAAGAGUCUCCAAUCCCAUUAAACGUCAUAUUGUCGAUCCACCAUUCAGUUUUCAUCAAGGGCGAUCACACCAACUUCGAGAUUGAGCCAUCCUUUGGGGUGGAGGCUUCGGAGCUGUAUCCAGAUGUGAAGUACACUGCUAUUGACGAAUACCUCAACCGCUUUCUUUGAAGAUGCACUGCCAGCCAGAAGUAAGCCUCGUUUGAAUUUCUUAUAAAGGUAUCGUG
This 464-nucleotide unclassified non-coding RNA is filed under the name Hevea brasiliensis (rubber tree). The record is from RNAcentral. Lineage: Eukaryota; Viridiplantae; Streptophyta; Magnoliopsida; Malpighiales; Euphorbiaceae.